Molecule: ribosomal RNA, 484 nt
Filed under: Marinobacter sp. NB-4
Lineage: Bacteria; Pseudomonadati; Pseudomonadota; Gammaproteobacteria; Pseudomonadales; Marinobacteraceae
Description: bacterial SSU rRNA
Rfam family: Bacterial small subunit ribosomal RNA
Source: RNAcentral
CCAAGGCAACGAUCCGUAGCUGGUCUGAGAGGAUGAUCAGCCACAUCGGGACUGAGACACGGCCCGAACUCCUACGGGAGGCAGCAGUGGGGAAUAUUGGACAAUNGGGGCAACCCUGAUCCAGCCAUGCCGCGUGUGUGAAGAAGGCUUUCGGGUUGUAAAGCACUUUCAGUGAGGAGGAAAACCUUACGAUUAAUACUCGUGAGGCUUGACGUUACUCACAGAAGAAGCACCGGCUAACUCCGUGCCAGCAGCCGCGGUAAUACGGAGGGUGCAAGCGUUAAUCGGAAUUACUGGGCGUAAAGCGCGCGUAGGUGGUUUGAUAAGCGAGAUGUGAAAGCCCCGGGCUUAACCUGGGAACGGCAUUUCGAACUGUCAGGCUAGAGUGUGGUAGAGGGUAGUGGAAUUUCCUGUGUAGCGGUGAAAUGCGUAGAUAUAGGAAGGAACAUCAGUGGCGAAGGCGGCUACCUGGACCAACACUGAC